UCGCUUCUACAUGCUGGGAUAUGCUAAAAACCAGCUUUUUCCCCGAUGAAUCGAGCGAACAAAGGGUUCAGCCGGGCGAUCUGCCUCUAUAUCACUUGCAGAUAUUGUUUCCUGCGAAAUCGAUUCGGUUGCCGCAACCCCACCCAUAUCCCUGUGUGAAUGCUUUCCUCCUUCAUCGCUGGACAGUUUCUGUAAAAAUUCCAUGGCAUGUUCCUGGUCGAUUCUUUCUUGAGGCUCGUGAGACGCAAACCACCUUGGUAGACAAGGGAUUUUCCGUUUAGAGUUGCGACCAUAACCAUAGCCGGUCGUCGGAAAUAUGAGUGGGAAUAUACGAGUUACCAGCGGCCGUAGGGUCGGAAGAGAACAACAUAUUAUUGCGACAUUACAUUCAACAGCUGACCAGGAGGCCGCUGCCGCAUUAUGUUCUGAAUGAUAUUUGAAUUAGCUUGGGGAAACAUGCGGAAUGGCGUCAGCAGUAGGAAAAUCAUACGUACCUACUAGGUCAUCUGAUCUCGCAAGUUGACGAAGGCUCUCAAGACGAAGACCACUUGUGAUGCAAACACUGAUAACGAGAACUGAAUUAACUUUCUGAGCAAGGAACAUAAUUUGGUGGGGAUUGUUGGAAACCGAUUCAAGGGGAAUAUACAAUCCUCCAAGAGCGAAAACUAGCACGAGAGCGAUUCUCUUCCUUUUAGGAAUAUUUAGCCUGAUGAGAAUCGGCAUGGGCAUCGCAAGCAAGACGACAUCUGUAACGAUGUGCACGAUCGCUGUGGAUAGCCAGAAUGCAUCCCUAUUCAAGCAGCUGCCUUCUACCAUGUCAUCCCACCAUCUUCUUACUGGAACGCAUGUGAGAAAUGACCCUACAACCACCCACAAGCCGUAUAUUAUUAAGAAAAAUAGAGCACCAGAGCAGGCUAUACGUAUCCGACUCCCUGGGAAUAUUCGGUGGUACUGUAAGGCGAUGGAUGCUUUGGUGCAAAAGAGGCUAGCGUUAUAGAUAGGGAUAGAUGCCCAAAGGAGCUGCAUAUUCAAACCUGUUAGCUCUUGCAAGUAAGACGCACAACGUUACCACCUCUGAGAACUUACGAUCACCUGUUGCUUGAACGUUUCAAACGUGAUUUCACUCCUAUUACCGCCCAGUCCGGAUUUCCAUUCUGCUGAUCGGGUUUCAAUUACUUACCGCCAAUGAACAAUCCCAUGAAUCCAAGGGAGAGAAUCUGGUUGCCCUGGUCAGCAAACUGUUGUUCACACGGAUUGAUUCCCUAGCAUACCAAAGACACUAAGCACGUCCAAUCGUCAGAACCGAUCUUUUUCACCAAAAAUCCCCUUGUGUAAAGACGAGCGGAUACAAAAAACACCGCCAGCGAUGUGAAGGUGAUGGAUAAUAUAAGUGCGUCUUUGGCUUUAUCCUCCGACUCCUCACUCAAUCCAUUUUGCAUCGCCCAAUUGGAGGUUUCCAUCUGCACCUCCAACUUUCGAAUUCAUCCGACGUCGUAAAUAUUGCGUAUGUCAAUGACAUCUGAAAUAUGUUUGCUGAUCUCUCUAAUCUCGAAAACUCAGUGUUCUCAACUAUCUAUUGGCACCCGAAGAAAAAAAUGGGGGGGCAACUUGAUGAGCUAUAAAGUACACAACCUUUUGUGAUGGACGUAUAUUGAAUAAUCUAUUAAGCGGCAUGGAACGGCCAUUUGUCGGACUUUAACUCUAAAACGCCACAGCCUUGGAUUUAGGAUAUAAAUGAAACUGUGGGCAGUAUUUCUAGGCGAGGCAUUCAACCCAGAUAGGCAUGCAAGCCUUUAUAUUUGAAGGCCGAGAGCCAAAUUCUGGCCACUUUGGGGAGUCUCCAAGGUCUUAUCGUUUCUUACCGAAGAGGAAUCCGCUGU
Molecule: small RNA, 1880 nt
Filed under: Histoplasma capsulatum
Lineage: Eukaryota; Fungi; Ascomycota; Eurotiomycetes; Onygenales; Ajellomycetaceae
Also listed under: 1 other name
Description: hypothetical RNA
Source: RNAcentral